Non-coding RNA from Acanthosepion pharaonis, 114 nucleotides. The record is from the annotation of a GenBank genome assembly. NCBI's taxonomy places the organism in Eukaryota, Metazoa, Mollusca, Cephalopoda, Sepiida, Sepiidae.
UUACGGCCAUAUAAUAUUUUAACACCGGGUCCCGUACCAUCACCGAAGUUAAGCAAAAUUGAGCUUUGCCAGUACCUAGAUGGGUGAACGUUUCGGAAUACCCGGUGCUGUAAG